This 3157-nucleotide unclassified non-coding RNA is filed under the name Hevea brasiliensis (rubber tree). Lineage: Eukaryota; Viridiplantae; Streptophyta; Magnoliopsida; Malpighiales; Euphorbiaceae. The record is from RNAcentral.
AGAAAACCCUAAAAUUCUCACAGCUAUAUCGCCGCUCUCGUCCUUACAUUGCUCCUUCAUCAUUUUGAUGCCUACUUUUCAGAUAUACCUGCCAGCCUGAGUUCUCGAAGCAACAAGUUCCUUAAACAUGAGUAAGAAGAAACCGCAGGUGUUCCUUGAUGUUUCAAUUGAUGGCGACCCAGUUGAAAGAAUGGCUUUUGAGGUAUCAAGCUAUCCACCCGCUAGAUUUGUUAUCCCUAAAUAUACUUAUUUGAACUCACAUAACGAGAUACUUACAGUUGGAUACCCUUGAGUUAUCUUAUUUGCAGCUUUUCACCGACGUGGCUCCAAAAACUGCAGAGAACUUCCGUGCACUGUGUACAGGGGAGAAAGGAGUCAGCUCUAAGACGGGAAGACCAUUGCAUUAUAAAGGAACCUUUUUCCAUCGUAUUGUCAAGGGAUCCGUGGCUCAGGCAGGUGACAUGCUGAGACAAGAUGGGAACUAUGGGGAAAGCAUCUAUGGGGGAAAGUUUCCAGAUGAGUCGCCGAAGAUAAAACAUGAUUCCCAAGGUCUACUAUCUAUGGCUAUUGCUGAUCGUGAUGCACGCGGUUCUAUAUUUUCCAUCACCUUUCAGGCUGAUCAUCAUCUUGACAGGAAAUGUGUAGUCUUCGGCAAACUUGUUGAUGGCCUUGAAGUUCUUAAGAAAAUUGAGAGUGUGGGAAAUGAAGAGGGAAAACCUGAUGUAACUGUGAAGAUAAUCAAUAGUGGCGAGUUACCUGAUGAUAAGAGAAAGCUAAAUAAAUUGAAAAAUGGGAAGCACAAAAAAUCCGCCAAAGAGAGAAAGAAAAAGAGGAGGAGAUAUUAUACAUCAGAAUCAGAGAGCUCAACAGAUAGUGAUACUGAGUCUUCUGAGUCUGAAAGUGAUUCCGACUCGGAUGUAUCUUCUGAUUCUGAAAUUAGCUCAUCAAGUGAUGAUAGACGGAGGAAGAGGAAGAGAUCUAAAAGAGACAGGCAUAGACGUUCCAAAAGAAAGGAGAAGCGACGUGAGAAAAAGCGCAAAAGACGUGACAAGAAAUCUAAGCGCAAAUCGAAAAGGGCAUCAGACAGUCCUUCAGAAAGUGAGAGUGGACGUGAUGGUUUAGACGAAGAUGGUGUAAGACGGGCUUCCGGAGGAAAGCACAAAAGUAUGGAAAAGAAAACAGAAGGAAAUCAUUCUCCUUCGCUUGAGGAGGGAGAAGCAGUUUCUCUUCAUCACAAGAAAGAGGCAACUGACAUUUUUGAAGGAGAGGAGGUAGAAUUUCCCAAGGAGAACGGAGAGCGUCAAAGCAAUAAUACCAAAAUGGAAAUUAGAUCUGAUAAACCUGUUGAUAGGCAGCCUGAUGUGGUGGAUGAUCACCCUGGCAAAUCUAGGAGCAGAAGUAUAAGUCCCAAAAGGACAAUGAGUAGGAGUAUGAGCAUUAGUCCUCGGAGGAGUUUAAGCAGAAGUCGAAGUAUUAGCCCAAAGCGCAGUGUGAGCAGGAGCCCAAGUGUGAGAUCCAGACAUAGUGUAAGCAGAAGUCCAAGUCGCAGUGGAAGUCCUCAUCGCGUCUCACAGAGAAGGAGCAGCAGCAUUGUUAAGAGUCGUAGUGGUAGUCCCGCAAGAAGCAUUAGUAGAAGCCCAGUGAGAGGCAAGAGGGGAGGAAGUGUCAGUGUGAGUCCUCCAGCGAGAGCUCAUUCACGCCGAAGGAGUAGCAGAAGUCCGUCAGCAUCUCCUAGAAGGCAACUUACCCCAAGUCCACACAGAGCCUCAUCAAGGAAGUCGGUGAAAUCUAAAAGUCGAACACCAGUUAGAUCUUAUAGAAGGAGUCCAAGUGGAAGCCCUGUUAGGUCUUCUCGAAGGAGCCCAAGCAAAAGUCCUGUUAGGUCUUCACGGAGGAGUGCAAGCAGAAGUUCAGGUAGGGUUCCUUCAAGGCUUAGGCCUGCUGGAAGGAGCCCUAGCAGAAGCCCUGUCAAGUCUUCUCGACGGAGUGUAAGCCGAAGUUCAGGUAGGGUUCCUUCUAGGCGAAGCCCAAGCCGAAGUCCAGGUAGGGCUCCUAGCAGGAACAAUCGACGCAGCUAUUCAAGAAGUCCUGUUAGUGCAGGUCGUAGGGCUAGAUCUCCGGUGUAUGAUCGUGCGAGGAGCUCUUCAAGAAGUGCUUCAGUGGAUGGAUCUCCCAAGCGCAUUAGGAGGGGAAGGGGCUUUAGUGAGCGUUACUCCUAUGUUCGUAGAUACAGGAGUCGGUCUCCUGACCGGUCCCCUGCUAGGCCAUACCGUUAUGGUGAGCGUGACAGAUAUUCGAGAUACAGGAGAUCACCUAGGCGUUAUAGGAGUCCACCUAGAGGAAGAACACCGCCCAGAUACAGAGGCAGAAGAAGCCGAAGCCGCAGCGUCUCACGUAGUCCAGUGCGUUACCGUGGUCGCCGUUAUAGUCGAAGCCCUGUACAAAGUCGCUCUCCUGUGGACAGAUAUCGCAGGUCACCAUCAGCUGAACGCCGUAAAUCACCUUCUCGGAGCAGAAGCCGAUCAGAGUCGAAAUCAUCUCGGGGCUCACGAUCACCAAAGCAAGUCAGCAGAGGCAAGUCAGUAUCAUCCUCGGCGAGUCCCCCUGGGAAGGCAGGUCUGGUUUCCUAUGGAGAUGGAUCUCCUGAAUCGGGAUAAGGAGUACAUGUAGUUGCUGAGUAGUGCAACUGGACAUACGUAUUUGAGUUUUCACCAUUCUGCGACUAUGGCUUGGCCAAAUGGAUAGUCUUUUCCUAUGUAGUGGAUUCUGGACGGCAUUUUGGAUACUUAAAACUUGUGUGCUUGGUGUUGUGUGCGUGUGAUUUAUGAUGCCUUUGAAUAAUUUUUUAUGCUUGGCUAUUAGAAUUGGCAUAGGGAGUAAUGUUCAGACUGCUUGCUUACGAAAUAUUGGAUUUGCAUCAUCACGCCAUGUUAUUUAGGAUUUCUUGUACGGAGGAAUUGGGGUUCUUCAUGUCAGUGAAGGCCUAUUUUGGACUAGUCAUGUGUUGGUUUUGGUUGAUCUUGACAACUUCCAUGGCUUGAAUUUGCAGCGGCAGAGCUCUUGUUUUGUGGCCCAUUGAUAUUCUUCAUCCUUCUCUCUGUUUCUUCUAGGUAUAUUUUGAAAUAAUUCCUUUGUAUACUGUUUAAUCUGUGGGGAU